RNAcentral lists this transfer RNA (74 nucleotides) under Chrysotila carterae. RNAcentral describes it as "tRNA-Gln". It matches the Rfam family "tRNA". Rfam says of the family: Transfer RNA (tRNA) molecules are approximately 80 nucleotides in length. Their secondary structure includes four short double-helical elements and three loops (D, anti-codon, and T loops). Lineage: Eukaryota; Haptophyta; Isochrysidales; Isochrysidaceae. The record is from RNAcentral.
AAAAAUGUAGCUAAAUGGCUCAAAGCUGCAGUUUUUGAUACUGUUUAUUAUUGGUUCGACUCCAUUCAUUUUUA